GGGAACGGGAACGGGAACGGGAACGGGAAUGGGAAUGGGAAUGGGAAUGGGAAUGGGAACGGGGCGGUUUGCCCUGGAAUGUCCGGGAAGUGCCUUUAACAGGUACGAGGCACGUUAGCUCAGCAAGAGACCGCUAAAGUCUGUCCCCUAAGCCGGGGACCUCUCUGCCCUGGGAAAGCCCCUCACACCGCUUUGGUCAGAGAAUCCCUCGAGGCCGAGCAGCUGCCGUGCAAUGACGAAGGGCCCUCUCUGCCCUGGCACCGCCACAUUGCUGCCCUCACUACCAGCGAGGAAUGGUUUGAGGGCAGUGGCUACGAAGAAGGAGGAGCCCUUCCCCAGAAGGGCGACAUAUGUGUUCCUGCUGGUGCAGCAGCAGCAGCAGCAGCCGCCUCCCCUCCCUCCUCUCCCUCCCCUCUCUUAGUUACUGUCCUGUCCCUGUUCCACAUCUCUAGGGCAACCCUCAAUUUUGCGUGUUCUUCUGAGGUACUCUGAUCCAGGCUUACUCUUCAUGUACAUUCCUGAAUAUGGAAAGUAUCUAAGUUCCACAGUAUUUUGAUUUCUUUGAUUAUCUCUCUGUUUACAGGUGCCUGUGCUCUCAUGCCUUACAAUUUUUCAGGGUGUCUGGGAUGCCCACUUUGCUGUGUGUUGUUGGCAGCAGAUGUUAGCAAGCCUUGGGGUGUUGCAAUUAGCAUUCCCUCAGCAGCUGUAAUAAAACAUACAUUUUUGACUAUACUUAGAUUUUUACUCAGUUGGUAGGAUAUGAACAGCUGUGCACCAAAACCAUGAGAAGAAACAGAGGAAAAUCUGCACUUAGUGCCCAGAAGACUCAAGAGCUCUGCUUGAAAUGUAAGAGUAUGGAAAGUACUGCCCUGUGACCCUCUGUGUGAAAAUCAGCUAGAAAGAUAAAAUGAAGGCAUCCUUAGAAAUGCAAGUCUUUCAUGGUAGUAGUUGAAAACACAGAGUAUUAGAAUUUUAAUACAUUGGUGUUCUGGAUGACUUUUGAGACAUGGUAUGCCAUUCUGGAUAAACAUUCUUCUCUUUGAGGCUUAUUUUAAAAGUGAAAAAAAAAGGUAUCUGACAGACACCAUUAUACAUUGAAAACUUCAUUAAACAGCAUGAAAAACAAAUUAUUUGCAUUCCUUUUUAAUGGCAGCAUAUGGCUAAAAAUAGAUUGCCAGCAUGUGCUGAAAUAACAACCAUUUACAUAAUUUUCUACUUGCAGCAAGAGUGACUGUAAGGCCCCCAAGUUUAGAAAUUUUCUUGCAGACUGUGUAAAGGUGCACUAUCAAGCCACCUUCUUAGCUUGGCAGAAGGAAGGAGGCUGUGGGAAGACAGACCUCUCUCUGCCUGGGCAGGUGUCUCAGGCAGAAGGCUACAGAGUCUCAUUUGCUGCCUCUGAGCCAGGAGUGGUGGAUUCCUGUGUGAGUGCCCAGUCCUCACUGCACGGUAAGGCAUUGCCCUCACCUCAGCUGACCUGCAGCCAGACAGUAACAGGACUCCCUGGAAAAAGAGGCAGUGUGGAAUGAAUGUGACAAUUGUACCAGCCUGUUACAGUUAAAAGCUUUAGCCAUUAGGCUGUUAUAUGGUAAGAUAGGAACAGGGAGAAGGAGCAACACUGUGUCUUACAAGUGGAUCUGGAGCUUUGUUUAUGGUAUUCAGGAACUGGAGGCAGCCAAUUCCCUUUGAGAGAUCCUAGCCAUUUCAGCAGAGCAAAGCUGUGCUCCUGUGCCAGACUUUUAAUCAAAAGAGAAGGCCUGACUGUGAUCAUUUCCAGCAGGCCUGCUUUAGGGGUGCCUUUCUUCUCCUGAGGAAUUUUUAUAAGGUCAUUUAGAGAUCCCCAUUCUAAUUUUGCCCUGCAUUGGCACUGGGGUGCUUUCCUUGAAUCUGGAUUCCAGCCCAGGGCUGGAUUUAGCUUGCAAGUCUGAAUAACCUGCAUAUUCAGUUGCACAGGUCAAUGAUGCCCCUGUGGCAGAGGCCAGGGAGGUGGUGCAAGAUCACAUGUUCCCCCAGAGAUGGGCUGUGCCUCUGAGGAACCUCUGUGAAGAUCUAGGAGCAUUGGGAGGGCACUCAGUAAGCACAAGAUGACUGCUACCCUGCUGCUUCUCUGGAGCUCAGGACCCAUGUUUCCUGCAAACCUUCAGGGCUUACAAGUUAGCAGUGCAGGCACCUUAUUCCUUCCUCAUGGUCAUUGUACUCACUGUGUUUCAAAUGCCCUGGAGCAAGUCCAGAUUGCAAGCUAAGUGUUUUAGAGCAGUAUUUUAAGAAGAAGGAUUAUUUUUUCUAUUAGUGUUGACUUUAAACACUAGAGAAAACACCAGCUACAUGAGGCUGUUUCUUUGAAACUUCUUUGAACUUUGGAUGCAUCUCUGCAGCCUGCAGCCUUGUGUAACUGCAGAGGUUUGUUCAAUUUGUCUGGAUGUUAUAUAAGCUGUCUUUUAUUUUCCUUUUGCUUGUGAUCAUGUUAUGUAGGCUGCCUUCUUAAAUUUCAGGAACCCUAAGGCAGCCUGAGUCAUAUGUAUGAGGCUCUUUUUUGCACUGUUGUGUAAGGUAGUGAAUUGCAAAGGUCAUGGGAAUGAGUUAUUUAAAAACUGAAACAUGCUGGGCUCUAUCCAGCUCAGAAUAGAUGAGCUCAGAAAGGCAUUUGCGUUUUAAAUUACAGUUUGGGUUAUCAAGGACUGAUUCACCUAACUCACUAUUUCAGUUUCCUUAGCAAAUUGCUGUAGCACACAAUAUUUUUGUUUCUUUUAAAUGUGUUGCUGAUAUAACCAUGCAUUCCCAUGAGAUAAUGAAUAAAAUAUUUACUUUCAAUACUAGAAAACAAAUGCAUUCACAAAUAUUGUCAUCAUAGGCACAAUCUUCACACUCAUUCAUUUUCAGUGCUCACAGCAAUUAAUCUCCCUUACCAUUUGAUCCCAAUGGAAGAUUCAUGUUCAAAGUGCACAGAGGGCUUUGAUCUACCCAGUGAACAACUGGAUUGUGAUGUGCCACUGUGCCCUUGUGUAAACUGCCUCACUCAUAGCAAUGCCAUGCAGGUUAAAGGUACAAGAACAGAUAACCCUGGAGUCUCUAGGGCAGAUCACUCUGUUUCUGUUCACUCUGUCUACUGUCAUGUUUAAGCCAUCCAACUGUACCCUCAUUUAUAGAAAGACCUUUCUUGCUUCCUAUUUCAUGUCCCCUCUGAGGCACUCCAAGUCACCACCCAUAAAAAAGUGUAUCCAGCCAUACUUUAACGUGAAGUGCUCUGAACUCUCCCAAAAGCACUUUUCAACUUGGAUAAUUUCACAGAGUAGUUCAGGGCAUGACUCCACCAACUGCUCAGCACACAGAGAAGGGCAGGCAGCAGUCGCUGGCAGCAGGGAAGGGCAUUGCAGCGGGCCAGGGGAGCAGGAGGGAAUACAAACCCACACCCUGGGAGUGAUUUUUGUUCUCUCCAUCAGCCUGUAGAGCUAUCCCAGCAUCAUUUUGGCCAUUUGCAAAAUUCAUGUGUGCAAUUGUAAUUUACUUCCCUUUUCAUGCACCAAAAUGUAAUCAACUUGUGAUCACGUCAACUCUUGAUGAAAAUAGUAAGAAAAAGUUAUGUGCUGAGAGAAAAAGUACAUUAAAUUGGUUUGGCAUGAGGAAGCAGUUAAAUUACUCUGGUUACUGAAACCCAAACCAGUACAACCCCCCUCCCCCAAAUACUGCACCAAUAUAGCAAAAUUAAGUAAUAGCAUGUCCCCAUAUAGGCUUGCAAUGCAGUGUACUGGUAAAUUAUACAGACAGAAACUGGUUAACCCAGGAAUUGUGGAGUCAUAUAUGUGCAUGUAGGAGAGGGGAAAAAAAAACAGUUAAGAAAAAGGGCUAGAAAUGCAAAGAGCACACUAAACUGAGUUCAGGGACAUGAUACUGAAGGGAAGGAGAACACUGGGGCAAAGGACUUCCUGGAAAGGGCUUGAAUGUAAACACAGGUGAGCUCUUGCUGUUUGCCCGCAUUUUGCUGUGUUCAGAAAAACAAGAACUUUUUAAAUACAGGAAUUGUACAUGUGAGUCUAUUGCAUUAUACCCAGCAUCAUUACUCAAGGUGAUUGCUAGGAACAGGUAAAACAAAAGCUGGAAUAAGGGAGGACAGGGUCUAUGAAGUGUGAGGGUUUAAAGAUGUUAACAAAAAAAACCCAAACAACAUUCCAAUUAUUUUCCCGUAUUCAAGUAAUUCUGGUUUGUAUUUGCAUAUAUCAGUGGCUAAAAUAUAUGAGUCACAGGGUGGGGUUUUUUUCUUGCAUGUUACUAAUGGACACCUUGCCCUGAGUCAAAAAGCAGUGCCUUAGGUUAAUCCAGGAAACACUUCUCGAAUCUGCCAUCAUGUGAAGACUGGAAACAAGCUCACUUUCUCCAGAAAAGAGCUAUAAAACCAAGCAAGAGAAAUUGCAAACAGAAAGUCUGUUCACUUGUCUAACACUGCUCUUAACCUCUUGGACUAUCUUGGGUCGAGCAGCUGGAAGACAGCAUGUUCUGUGGGCAGACAGCUCCUGGCAGGCAGUCAGUACAGCUGCGAACACCACACGCUGUGCCAAACAUGAGUCUGUAAUUUCUCUCCAAUGGUCAGCUUUUUGAGGAUAGCAUUUAGUCAUUUCCUGGGAAGACAAAGGGUGCCCAUCAGAGCUAAUGAUACUUGCUCAUGUGCUGCCAUGUGGGAGGUGGCUAUAAAGCACACUUGGAAAAUGAGCACAACUGAUUCAAAAUCACAGCAACGGUGUUGAUGCAGGAAUUUGCUGCCAGGCAGUUCUCAGAAUCCCUGCACCCUUUGUCAGACAAGGAGGCAUUUUCUUCUGACUUACUUUUCUCAGCCAUCUGAAUAGGAGAGCAAAUGUGCCUCAGGAGAAAUAAGAAGUGUGUUAGUUUUCAUUAACUUUUAAUUUGAAGUCUGCAUAACUGAAUGAAACCACUGUAGUAAUCUGGAAAGGGUAUCUGAAAGCCCUGUUGAAUCAGAGAUAAUUCCUCCCUUCUCUCUGAAAAGUACAUAUUUAAAAGGUGCUUUGUUUGGAGGCACAGUAUCCCUGCCAGUAUUUGCAAAGAACUCAAACAGUGGGAGCAGCUCUAGAAAGUCAUUUCAGGCUGCUGCAGCAUUCCCAGGGCUGUAGUAAAGGUCAGUGUGUGUGUGUCCUUCAGCCAUGUGGAGUUUUGAUUAGCAAAUCUGCGUCGUUGACAACUCUGGACUGUUUCCAGACAGCGAAAAUCAGGGCUCCCACAUGCACAAGAAGCGCACUCCCUGUGCCCAGCUUGUGCUCAAAGGCAUAGGACUUGCUGCACAGUGUUCAGCCUGUAACACAUACUGCAGCAAGGCUCACAGCCAAACAUUCCAAUCAUGUCAUAAAGAAAAGUUUUAAAAUGUUGCUUUGCUGAUAGGU
This is a long non-coding RNA of Passer domesticus (house sparrow), 5384 nucleotides long. RefSeq lists it as uncharacterized. NCBI's taxonomy places the organism in Eukaryota, Metazoa, Chordata, Aves, Passeriformes, Passeridae. The record is from RefSeq and is a predicted model, not a curated record. The transcript has 3 exons.